UCCUACGGGAGGCAGCAGUGAGGAAUAUUGCACAAUGGAGGAAACUCUGAUGCAGCAACGCCGCGUGGAGGAUGACGCAUUUCGGUGUGUAAACUCCUUUUAAGAGGGAAGAUUAUGACGGUACCUCUUGAAUAAGCACCGGCUAACUCCGUGCCAGCAGCCGCGGUAAUAAUCUC
Molecule: ribosomal RNA, 176 nt
Filed under: uncultured bacterium
Lineage: Bacteria
Description: partial 16S ribosomal RNA
Rfam family: Bacterial small subunit ribosomal RNA
Source: RNAcentral